GAUGAAAAGGCGCGGCAAAAGAAGCGGGAAAAUUAGACUUGGCCUAAGAAGUUUAAAGAAGUUUUAAGCGCUAGUGAUGUCUUCGCCGAAGCCAAGUUCGAGCCGACCCGAGAUCAACAGUGGCCUUUCAUCUGCAAAAAAGAAAACCAAGCGCUCCAAGGAGAAGUAUUGCUACAUUGAAGACAGCAAGAGGCGUGCCAUCACACUCUCUAAGAGAAAGGCAACUCUUUUUCAGAAUUUGAUGAAAUUAAAUAUUAUGUCUGGGGCAGAUGCAUUAAUGAUAAUUGAAACCCCACGGAAACGAUUUGUGUGGGGAUCAGAUAAA
Long non-coding RNA from Nematostella vectensis (starlet sea anemone), 325 nucleotides. RefSeq lists it as uncharacterized. The record is from RefSeq and is a predicted model, not a curated record. Lineage: Eukaryota; Metazoa; Cnidaria; Anthozoa; Actiniaria; Edwardsiidae. The transcript is spliced from 2 exons.